Molecule: ribosomal RNA, 449 nt
Filed under: uncultured bacterium
Lineage: Bacteria
Description: partial 16S ribosomal RNA
Rfam family: Bacterial small subunit ribosomal RNA
Source: RNAcentral
UCCAGACUCCUACGGGAGGCAGCAGUGGGGGAUAUUGCACAAUGGGGGAAACCCUGAUGCAGCGACGCCGCGUGAGUGAAGAAGUAUUUCGGUAUGUAAAGCUCCAUCAGCAGGGAAGAAAAAAGACGGUACCUGACUAAGAAGCCCCGGCUAACUACGUGCCAGCAGCCGCGGUAAUACGUAGGGGGCAAGCGUUAUCCGGAUUUACUGGGUGUAAAGGGAGCGUAGACGGCAAUACAAGUCGGAAGUGAAAUACCCGGGCUCAACCUGGGAACUGCUUUGGAAACUGUAUGGCUGGAGUGCUGGAGAGGUAAGCGGAAUUCCUAGUGUAGCGGUGAAAUGCGUAGAUAUUAGGAGGAACACCAGUGGCGAAGGCGGCUUACUGGACAGUAACUGACGUUGAGGCUCGAAAGCGUGGGGAGCAAACAGGAUUAGAUACCCUGGUAAAA